GUCCGUAUCACGCCGAAACACCGGUUUCCGGAGGAUCAUCGCAGUUAAGCAACGUCGAGCCUGGUCAGUACCGAAAUGGAUGACCUCUUGCGAAUACCAAGUGCGGUC
Molecule: non-coding RNA, 108 nt
Organism: Acanthosepion pharaonis
Lineage: Eukaryota; Metazoa; Mollusca; Cephalopoda; Sepiida; Sepiidae
Source: the annotation of a GenBank genome assembly